AUACGUAGGGGGCAAGCGUUGUCCGGAAUUAUUGGGCGUAAAGGGUGCGUAGGCGGCCAAAUAAGUCAGAUGUGAAAGGCCACGGCUUAACUGUGGAAUUGCAUUUGAAACUGUUUGGCUUGAGUUUCGGAGAGGGUAGUGGAAUUCCCGGAGUAGCGGUGAAAUGCGUAGAUAUCGGGAGGAACACCAGUGGCGAAGGCGACUACCUGGACGAAUACUGACGCUGAUGCACGAAAGCUAGGGGAGCAAACAGGAUUAGAUACCCUGGUAGUCCUAGCCGUAAACGAUGGGUACUAGGUGUAGGUAGUUUCGAUACUAUCUGUGCCGCAGUUAACGCAUUAAGUACCCCGCCUGGGGAGUACGUUCGCAAGAAUGAA
RNAcentral lists this ribosomal RNA (377 nucleotides) under uncultured bacterium. RNAcentral describes it as "bacterial SSU rRNA". It matches the Rfam family "Bacterial small subunit ribosomal RNA", at positions 523 to 898 of the family's 1533-position model. The record is from RNAcentral.